GACGAACGCUGGCGGCGUGCUUAACACAUGCAAGUCGAACGAUGACGACCGAGCUUGCUCGGUCUGAUUAGUGGCGAACGGGUGAGUAACACGUGAGCAAACUGCCCUUCAAUCUGGGAUAACACCGGGAAAAAGGGGCUAAUACCGGAUAUGAGAUCCUGUCGCAUGGGGGGCGUUGGAAAGUUAUGCGGUGUAGGAUGGGGACGCGGUCUAUCGGUUUGUUGGUGAGGGAGGGGCUCCCCACGGCGAAGAAGGGUAGCCGGCCUGAGAGGGCGACCGGCCACACUGGCCCGGAGGCACGGCCCAGACUCCUUCGUGAGGCAGCGGUGGGGAAUAUUGCACAAUGGGCGAAGGCCUGAUGCAGCGACGCCGCGUGGGAGAUGACGGCCUUCGGGUUGUAACCCUCUUUCAGCAGGGAAGAAGCGAAAGUGCCGGUACCUGCAGAAGAAGCGCCGGCUACCUACGU
RNAcentral lists this ribosomal RNA (466 nucleotides) under uncultured bacterium. RNAcentral's name for it is "partial 16S ribosomal RNA". It matches the Rfam family "Bacterial small subunit ribosomal RNA", at positions 28 to 506 of the family's 1533-position model. The record is from RNAcentral.